ACAGAACUUUCAGUAUCCACUGCAUCAUCUUCCCUGAUCAUAGAUAAUCUGGGAGAAAGUCCAAAGACAGAGGCAAAAAGUGUCACUAUAGAAGCAAAGAAAACUACACCAAAACAGGCAGUCCC
Molossus molossus (Pallas's mastiff bat) is the source of this 125-nucleotide long non-coding RNA. RefSeq lists it as uncharacterized. The record is from RefSeq and is a predicted model, not a curated record. The transcript has 3 exons. Lineage: Eukaryota; Metazoa; Chordata; Mammalia; Chiroptera; Molossidae.